AUAGUACUCCCUCCGUCCGAAAAGCUUGUCCCAAGCUUGUCUUUAAAAUGGAUGUAUCUAGCACUAACUUGGUGCUAGAUACAUCCAUUUGAGGGACACGUUUUUUUCGGACGGAGGGAGCAUUCC
Non-coding RNA from Triticum aestivum (bread wheat), 126 nucleotides. The record is from Rfam. Lineage: Eukaryota; Viridiplantae; Streptophyta; Magnoliopsida; Poales; Poaceae.